RNAcentral lists this ribosomal RNA (468 nucleotides) under uncultured bacterium. RNAcentral's name for it is "partial 16S ribosomal RNA". It matches the Rfam family "Bacterial small subunit ribosomal RNA", at positions 28 to 507 of the family's 1533-position model. The record is from RNAcentral.
GACGAACGCUGGCGGCGUGCUUAACACAUGCAAGUCGAACGGAAAGGCCCUGCUUUUGUGGGGUGCUCGAGUGGCGAACGGGUGAGUAACACGUGAGUAACCUGCCCUUGACUUUGGGAUAACUUCAGGAAACUGGGGCUAAUACCGGAUAGGAGCGCCUGCUGCAUGGUGGGGGUUGGAAAGUUUCGGCGGUUGGGGAUGGACUCGCGGCUUAUCAGCUUGUUGGUGGGGUAGUGGCUUACCAAGGCUUUGACGGGUAGCCGGCCUGAGAGGGUGACCGGCCACAUUGGGACUGAGAGACGGCCCAGACUCCUACGGGAGGCAGCGGUGGGGAAUAUUGCACAAUGGGCGGAAGCCUGAUGCAGCAACGCCGCGUGCGGGAUGACGGCCUUCGGGUUGUAAACCGCUUUCGCCUGUGACGAAGCGUGAGUGACGGUAAUGGGUAAAGAAGCACCGGCUAACUACGUG